RNAcentral lists this ribosomal RNA (433 nucleotides) under uncultured bacterium. RNAcentral describes it as "partial 16S ribosomal RNA". It matches the Rfam family "Bacterial small subunit ribosomal RNA", at positions 29 to 507 of the family's 1533-position model. The record is from RNAcentral.
AACGAACGCUGGCGGCAUGCCUAACACAUGCAAGUCGAACGAGACCUUCGGGUCUAGUGGCGCACGGGUGCGUAACGCGUGGGAACCUGCCCUUAGGUUCGGAAUAACUCCCCGAAAGGGGUGCUAAUACCGGAUAAUGUCUUCGGGCCAAAGAUUUAUCGCCUUUGGAUGGGCCCGCGUUGGAUUAGCUAGUUGGUAGGGUAAAAGCCUACCAAGGCGACGAUCCAUAGCUGGUCUGAGAGGAUGAUCAGCCACACUGGGACUGAGACACGGCCCAGACUCCUACGGGAGGCAGCAGUGGGGAAUAUUGGACAAUGGGCGAGAGCCUGAUCCAGCAAUGCCGCGUGAGUGAUGAAGGCCUUAGGGUUGUAAAGCUCUUUUACCCGGGAUGAUAAUGACAGUACCGGGAGAAUAAGCUCCGGCUAACUCCGUG